This is a non-coding RNA of Jatropha curcas, 359 nucleotides long. Lineage: Eukaryota; Viridiplantae; Streptophyta; Magnoliopsida; Malpighiales; Euphorbiaceae. The record is from RefSeq and is a predicted model, not a curated record.
AGAUGUGAACGUGAAAAGGGUGAAGAUUGGUCCAAAAUUGCUCAUAUUCCUCAAGUUAUUGUUGAUGGCUACAACAUUCAAUCCUCGCUUGACAGUGAUGAUUAAGUGCAAAAGACUAGAGUGUCCAUUAAUGGAAGUUAUGCUGCCUCUACAUGCUUAUGAGUUUUUUACAAACUAAGCUACCAUAUUCAUGGGGACUGGACUGAACUGCAGAAAGUUUCAAUGUUAUUUACUUAUAGUCUUCUGUCUUUUUACAUACAUUAUUAUAUAAUUUGCAUUUUCUACAUUAUUUAUAUUGUAAUAAUGCCAUCUCCUUAAUUAUAUAUGAAUUGCAUAUAUUUUACAUGUAAAUAAUGUUU